RNAcentral lists this ribosomal RNA (495 nucleotides) under uncultured bacterium. RNAcentral's name for it is "partial 16S ribosomal RNA". It matches the Rfam family "Bacterial small subunit ribosomal RNA", at positions 30 to 507 of the family's 1533-position model. The record is from RNAcentral.
UGAACGCUGGCGGCGUGCCUAAUACAUGCACGUCGAGCGAACAGAUGAGGAGCUUGCUCCUCUGACGUUAGCGGCGGACGGGUGAGUAACACGUGGAUAACCUACCUAUAAGACUGGGAUAACUACGGGAAACCGGAGCUAAUACCGGAUAAUAUAUUGAACCGCAUGGUUCAAUAGUGAAAGACGGUUUUGCUGUCACUUAUAGAUGGAUCCGCGCCGCAUUAGCUAGUUGGUAAGGUAACGGCUUACCAAGGCAACGAUGCGUAGCCGACCUGAGAGGGUGAUCGGCCACACUGGAACUGAGACACGGUCCAGACUCCUACGGGAGGCAGCAGUAGGGAAUCUUCCGCAAUGGGCGAAAGCCUGACGGAGCAACGCCGCGUGAGUGAUGAAGGUCUUCGGAUCGUAAAACUCUGUUAUUAGGGAAGAACAAAUGUGUAAGUAACUAUGCACGUCUUGACGGUACCUAAUCAGAAAGCCACGGCUAACUACGUG